Molecule: ribosomal RNA, 465 nt
Filed under: uncultured Klebsiella sp.
Lineage: Bacteria; Pseudomonadati; Pseudomonadota; Gammaproteobacteria; Enterobacterales; Enterobacteriaceae
Description: bacterial SSU rRNA
Rfam family: Bacterial small subunit ribosomal RNA
Source: RNAcentral
CCUACGGGUGGCUGCAGUGGGGAAUAUUGCACAAUGGGCGCAAGCCUGAUGCAGCCAUGCCGCGUGUGUGAAGAAGGCCUUCGGGUUGUAAAGCACUUUCAGCGGGGAGGAAGGCGGUGAGGUUAAUAACCUCAUCGAUUGACGUUACCCGCGGAAGAAGCACCGGCUAACUCCGUGCCAGCAGCCGCGGUAAUACGGAGGGUGCAAGCGUUAAUCGGAAUUACUGGGCGUAAAGCGCACGCAGGCGGUCCGUCAAGUCGGAUGUGAAAUCCCCGGGCUCAACCUGGGAACUGCAUUCGAAACUGGCAGGCUAGAGUCUUGUAGAGGGGGGUAGAAUUCCAGGUGUAGCGGUGAAAUGCGUAGAGAUCUGGAGGAAUACCGGUGGCGAAGGCGGCCCCCUGGACAAAGACUGACGCUCAGGUGCGAAAGCGUGGGGAGCAAACAGGAUUAGAUACCCCGGUAGUC